RNAcentral lists this ribosomal RNA (326 nucleotides) under uncultured eukaryote. Its description in RNAcentral is "partial 18S ribosomal RNA". It matches the Rfam family "Eukaryotic small subunit ribosomal RNA", at positions 1470 to 1796 of the family's 1831-position model. The record is from RNAcentral.
CCCUUAGAUGUUCUGGGCCGCACGCGCGCUACACUGAUGCAUUCAACAAGCCUAGCCUUGACCGAGAGGUCCGGGUAAUCUUUGAAACUGCAUCGUGAUGGGGCUAGAUUAUUGCAAUUAUUAAUCUUCAACGAGGAAUGCCUAGUAAGCGUGAUUCAUCAAAUCGCGUUGAUUACGUCCCUGCCCUUUGUACACACCGCCCGUCGCUCCUACCGAUUUAAUGUGUUGGUGAGGAGCUCGGAUUGGCAGCAGUUGGUGGUUCGCCACCGGCUAUUGCUGAGAAGUCCUCCAAACCGCCCCAUUUAGAGGAAGGAGAAGUCGUAACA